UACGAAGGGGGCUAGCGUUGUUCGGAAUUACUGGGCGUAAAGGGCGCGUAGGCGGCCCGCUAAGUCGAACAUGAAAUCCCUGGGCUCAACCCAGGAACUGCGUCCGAUACUGGCGGGCUUGAAUCCGGGAGAGGGAUGUGGAAUUCCAGGUGUAGCGGUGAAAUGCGUAGAUAUCUGGAGGAACACCGGUGGCGAAGGCGGCAUCCUGGACCGGUAUUGACGCUGAUGCGCGAAAGCCAGGGGAGCAAACGGG
Molecule: ribosomal RNA, 253 nt
Filed under: uncultured bacterium
Lineage: Bacteria
Description: partial 16S ribosomal RNA
Rfam family: Bacterial small subunit ribosomal RNA
Source: RNAcentral